CCUACGGGUGGCUGCAGUGAGGAAUCUUGGUCAAUGGACGCAAGUCUGACCCAGCCAUGCCGCGUGCAGGAUGACGGCUCUAUGAGUUGUAAACUGCUUUUGUACGAGGGUAAACCCCGAUACGUGUAUCGGGUUGAAAUUAUCGUACGAAUAAGGAUCGGCUAACCCCGUCCCAGCAGCCGCGGUACUACGGUGGAUCCGAGCGUUGUCCGGUUUUAUUGGGUUUAAAGGGUGCGUAGGCGGUUUGAUAAGUUAGAGGUGAAAGGUCGGGGCUCAACCCCGAAACUGCCUGUGAUACUGUGGGACUAGAGAAUAGUAGCGGUGGGCGGAAUGUAUGGUGUAGCGGUGAAAUGCUUAGAGAUCAGACAGAACACCGAUUGCGAAGGCAGCUCACCAAUCUAUAACUGACGUUGAGGCACGAAAGCGUGGGUAGCAAACAGGAUUAGAUACCCUAGUAGUC
RNAcentral lists this ribosomal RNA (460 nucleotides) under uncultured bacterium. RNAcentral describes it as "partial 16S ribosomal RNA". It matches the Rfam family "Bacterial small subunit ribosomal RNA", at positions 338 to 795 of the family's 1533-position model. The record is from RNAcentral.